CCCUUAGAUGUUCUGGGCGGCACGCGCGCUACAAUGAUGCAUUCAAAAAGUCUUCUGACCUUAGAAGGUUGGGUAUUCUCCAAAGUGCAUCGUGAUGGGAAUAGUUUAUUGCAAUUUUUAAUCUUGAACGAGGAAUUCCUAGUAAGUACAGGUCAUCAACUUGUGUUGAUUACGUCCCUGCCCUUUGUACACACCGCCCGUCGCUCCUACUGAUUGAGUGUCUCGGUGAAUUCUUUGAUCUUCUGUCGAUUCAGUUCACUGAUCCGACGGUGGAAAGUUGAAUGAACUUCGUCACUUAGAGGAAGGAGAAGUCGUAACA
RNAcentral lists this ribosomal RNA (319 nucleotides) under uncultured eukaryote. RNAcentral describes it as "partial 18S ribosomal RNA". It matches the Rfam family "Eukaryotic small subunit ribosomal RNA", at positions 1470 to 1796 of the family's 1831-position model. The record is from RNAcentral.